GGGCCUGUAGCUCAGUUGGUUAGCAGCGCACCCCUGAUAAGGGUGAGGUCGAAAGUUCAAGUCUUUUCAGGCCCA
Molecule: transfer RNA, 75 nt
Filed under: Firmicutes bacterium CAG:449
Lineage: Bacteria; Bacillati; Bacillota
Rfam family: tRNA
About the family: Transfer RNA (tRNA) molecules are approximately 80 nucleotides in length. Their secondary structure includes four short double-helical elements and three loops (D, anti-codon, and T loops).
Source: Rfam by way of RNAcentral